This 2709-nucleotide ribosomal RNA is filed under the name Triticum aestivum (bread wheat). RNAcentral describes it as "partial small subunit ribosomal RNA". The record is from RNAcentral. Lineage: Eukaryota; Viridiplantae; Streptophyta; Magnoliopsida; Poales; Poaceae.
AUGGCGCCCCUGAAGAAACUCUUUCGUAUCUCGCUUCUCUUGCUAGUAUGCGCAGCCAAGGCGACCAACCCGGAAGCGGAAGCACUUGUCCGAUGGAAGUCCACUUUGGUUGGCGCCAACUCCCUGUCCUCAUGGUCGACUGAGAAUUCCACCUGCUCUUGGUUUGGUGUCUCCUGUGACGCUGCCGGGCAUGUUACGGAGCUCAGCCUUCCCAGCGCUGGACUCAACGAUACGCACGAUUACUUGUAUUCAGCAGCGUUCUUGAACCUCACCAAGAUCAAACUCAACAACAACAAUCUUGUCGGCGCCAUCCCAGCAAACAUAUCCAAGUUGCUUAUGCUCACCUAUCUGGACUUGAGCAGCAACAAUCUUGCUGGUGCCAUCCCCUACCAACUCAGAAACCUACAAAUGAUUGUCAAGUUUAAUCUGGGAAAUAACCACUUGGCUAACCUGGAAAACAACAAGUUCUCACCUAUGUCCAGUUUGAAGAUGUUGUCGCUAGCUAAUAAUGAUCUCAGUGGCACCUUCCCACAAUUUAUCCUCAACUGCACCAAUUUGAACAUGAGAUCCCUCGAUUUAUCGGGCAACGCCUUCUCAGGGCCAUUACCAGAUUUAUUACCAGAGAUGGUCCCAAGGUUGAGGUAUCUAAAUCUGUCCAUUAAUGGUUUCUAUGGAUCCAUACCUCGCUCAUUCUCAAGGCUCCAAAACCUCGAGGCACUAUAUCUCGGGAGAAAUAAUCUGACAGGAGGAAUCCCACCCGAGCUGGGGAUGAUAUCUGGGUUGCGAAACCUUUCACUGAGCAGGAACCCACUUGGUGGGUCGAUCCCAACCUCACUGGGGCAGCUUCAGUUGGUACAGGUGCUCCAACUCAGAAACACUAGUUUGGUUUCUACUCUUCCACCUGAGCUAGGGAACCUUACUAGUCUUAAGCGUCUCGAGCUCCAGCAGAAUCAGUUACAUGGAAGUUUGCCACCAUGUUUUGCCAGGAUAAAAACAUUGGUGUUUUUUACAUUGGCUGGAAAUAAUAUUAAUGGUACCAUCCCGACUGAGAUGUUCACAAAUGGGACCAAACUCGAGUAUUUUGAUGUAUCCAGAAACUUGUUUACUGGAAGCAGCCUAUCGCGUAUCAGCAAGUGGAAGGAUCUCGAAGUUCUUGAUGUAUCCAGAAACUUGUUAACUGGAAGCAUCCCAUCGGAUAUCAGCAAGUGCAAGGAGCUCAUCUAUUUUGAUGUAUCAGACAACUUGCUAACUGGAAGCAUCCCAGUGGGGAUAGGGAAAAUGCGAAACUUGCAAGCAUUGUUUUUGUCCAAAAAUCACCUUACUGGAAAUAUGCCAUCAGAUAUUGGUAAUGCAACAUCUUUGCAAUUCCUUGAUGUCAACUCCAACCAUCUAAAGGGUGAGCUUCCUAAAACUAUCUCCUUGCUGGUAAAUCUUGUUGCUCUCACCUUGUCUGGCAACAAGUUUAUGGGUACCAUUCCUAAUCACGACAGCAAGCAGUUGUCAGUUGUCAAGGUUGCCAACAACACAGACAAUAGUAGCUUCUCGGGAGAAUCACGGUCUGCCAUUUGUGGAUUAACACUUCUGCAGCUAUUGGAUCUAUCAAACAAUGAGCUGUUUGGAGAUUUUCCUGCUUGCUUGUGGAAUUUAAAAGAUUUACAUACCUUGGAUUUGUCAGGCAAUGCUUUUGCUGGGAAAGUUCCAACCUCAACUUUCUAUAACUCUUCACUAAGGUCAUUGCACUUGUCAAGCAACAACUUCGCAGGUUGCUUUCCAGCGGUAUUGAAGAACUUAAAAAGCCUUGUUGUUUUGGAUCUCGGGAACAAUAAAAUUUCUGGUGUAAUCCCUCCGUGGAUAGGGGAAAGCAAUCUUUCUUUGAGGAUUCUCAGCCUGCGAACAAACAAGUUCUUCGGAAGUAUUCCUUGGCAGCUAUCACAACUCCCACAUCUCCAAUUGCUUGAUCUUGCUGAAAAUAAUUUUGUAGGUUCCAUACCAGAAAGUUUGGUCAACUUCUCCUUGAUGAGACAGACAUUUGUGAUGCAACCGUUUGUAACAAUUGACAUACCUCAUUGGUAUUUUUACAAUGGCAGCAUGGACAUAAUUUGGAAGGGACAGGAGUACAUCUUUGAGGGAAGACAUGAAUUUGUGACUGGUAUUGAUCUAUCUGGUAAUUCUCUAUCUGGUGAGAUCCCUUCAGAGUUGACUAGUCUCAGAGGCAUGCAAUUACUAAAUAUGUCAAGAAAUAAUCUGUCUGGUAGUAUCCCCAAGGAUAUUGGUAAUCUAAAGUUAUUAGAAUCCCUUGACCUAUCUUGGAACAAACUACCAGGUCCUAUUCCUCCUACUUUCUCAAACCUGAUGUUCCUCACCACUCUUAAUCUCAACAACAACCUUCUGUCUGGAGACAUACCUACAGGCAGUCAGCUCCAAACACUCGAUGACCCAUCGAUCUACGGCAAUAAUCUGGGUCUCUGUGGUCCCCCCUUAAGACCAUGCACAAAUAAUUCGAGUAGUACAACACCGAUGGAUGGGGCAAAGGAAUAUCACCAUGAACUGGAAACACUCUGGCUGUACUACUCGGUGAUUGCUGGAAUUGUAUUUGGUUUCUGGGUAUGGUUUGGAGCAUUAUUUUUCUGCAAGAUCUGGCGGGUUGCUUUCUUCAGUUGUGUCGAUGCCAUGCAGCAGAAUGCUUUGCACAAGAUGAAGCGUAUCUGA